This 520-nucleotide ribosomal RNA is filed under the name uncultured Archaeospora. Its description in RNAcentral is "SSU rRNA". It matches the Rfam family "Eukaryotic small subunit ribosomal RNA", at positions 569 to 1092 of the family's 1831-position model. Lineage: Eukaryota; Fungi; Glomeromycota; Glomeromycetes; Archaeosporales; Archaeosporaceae. The record is from RNAcentral.
AGCAGCCGCGGUAAUUCCAGCUCCAAUAGCGUAUAUUAAAGUUGUUGCAGUUAAAAAGCUCGUAGUUGAAUUUUGGAUUCUGCCAGUUGGUCCAUCUUUUGAUGAGUACUGAUUGUGUGGGGUCUAUCCGCCUGGUGAGACGUAAUGUACUUUAUUGUAUGUUGCGGGUAGUCAGGACCUUUACCUUGAAAAAAUUAGAGUGUUUAAAGCAGGCUUAUGCCGGAAUACAUUAGCAUGGAAUAAUAGAAUAGGACGAUGUUGUUUUAUUUUGUUGGUUUCUAGGACAACCGUAAUGAUUAAUAGGGAUAGUUGGGGGCAUUAGUAUUCAAUUGUCAGAGGUGAAAUUCUUGGAUUUAUUGAAGACUAACUAUUGCGAAAGCAUUUGCCAAGGAUGUUUUCAUUAAUCAAGAACGAAAGUUAGGGGAUCGAAGACGAUCAGAUACCGUCGUAGUCUUAACCAUAAACUAUGCCGACUAGGGAUCGGGCGAUGUUGUUUCCAUGACUCGCUCGGCACCUUAUG